Molecule: long non-coding RNA, 400 nt
Organism: Callorhinus ursinus (northern fur seal)
Lineage: Eukaryota; Metazoa; Chordata; Mammalia; Carnivora; Otariidae
Source: RefSeq, a predicted model, not a curated record
AAUUAGAAUGCAAGCUCCAUGAUGGCAGGACUGUUUGUCAAUUUUCUUAACUAUUUUAUCGCUAGCAUCCAGAAUAGUUCCUGCCUCAAGGUCCAGAAGUCCAAAAUGAGUCUUAGUGGGCUAAAAUCAAGUCAUCAUCCAGGCUGUGUUACUUCUAGAGGCCCCAGGGGAGAAUCGUUCUAGAAGCUAACCAUCUAUCUGGAAGAAUUGCCCAGGAAGAGAAAUAAGGCUUUGGUCAGCACUCUCAAGAGGACUCCUUCCCUGAGAGGUUAAACAAUGAUGAGCUUCAUACAGACCCUGCUUGAGCUACUUUAUAGGAUCUGAGAGGCUUUGAGGUUCCAGAAAAAUUAUAAGCCAUCCUUUUAAUACCAGGACAUGGAGGGAAUUGGUGGGAUGGUCA